Molecule: ribosomal RNA, 497 nt
Filed under: uncultured bacterium
Lineage: Bacteria
Description: partial 16S ribosomal RNA
Rfam family: Bacterial small subunit ribosomal RNA
Source: RNAcentral
GAUGAACGCUGGCGGCGUGCCUAAUACAUGCAAGUCGAGCGAACAGACGAGGAGCUUGCUCCUCUGACGUUAGCGGCGGACGGGUGAGUAACACGUGGAUAACCUACCUAUAAGACUGGGAUAACUUCGGGAAACCGGAGCUAAUACCGGAUAAUAUAUUGAACCGCAUGGUUCAAUAGUGAAAGACGGUGUUGCUGUCUCUUAUAGAUGGAUCCGCGCCGCAUUAGCUAGUUGGUAAGGUAACGGCUUACCAAGGCAACGAUGCGUAGGCGACGUGAGAGAGUGAUCGGCCACACGGGAACGGAAACACGGUCCAGAGUCCUACGGGAGGCAGCAGUAGGGAAUCUUCCGCAAUGGGCGAAAGCCUGACGGAGCAACGCCGCGUGAGUGAUGAAGGUCUUCGGAUCGUAAAACUCUGUUAUUAGGGAAGAACAAAUGUGUAAGUAACUAUGCACGUCUUGACGGUACCUAGUCAGAAAGCAACGGCUAACUACGUG